Molecule: ribosomal RNA, 501 nt
Filed under: uncultured bacterium
Lineage: Bacteria
Description: partial 16S ribosomal RNA
Rfam family: Bacterial small subunit ribosomal RNA
Source: RNAcentral
AUUGAACGCUGGCGGCAUGCCUUACACAUGCAAGUCGAACGGCAGCACGGGUGCUUGCACCUGGUGGCGAGUGGCGAACGGGUGAGUAAUAUAUCGGAACGUACCUUAUUGUGGGGGAUAACGCAGCGAAAGCUGUGCUAAUACCGCAUAAUCCCUAAGGGGGAAAGCGGGGGACCGUAAGGCCUCGCGCAAUUAGAGCGGCCGAUACCUGAUUAGUUAGUUGGUGAGGUAAAGGCUCACCAAGGCAACGAUCAGUAGCGGGUCGGAGAGGACGAUCAGCCACACUGGGACUGAGACACGGCCCAGACGCCUACGGGAGGCAGCAGUGGGGAAUUUUGGACAAUGGGGGCAACCCUGAUCCAGCAAUGCCGCGUGAGUGAAGAAGGCCUUCGGGUUGUAAAGCUCUUUUGUCAGGGAAGAAACAGCAGCUCUAACACAGUAUGCGAAUGACGGUACCUGAAGAAUAAGCACCGGCUAACUACGUGCCAGCCGCCGCCGUAA